GUCACUUUUAACGUCGUCUGCUGCAUUUGCGCCCAAAGACGUCGCACGUCCUCGGAAGUGAACUGUGGCGGCAAGUCUGAUGAGCUGGUAAUAAGCAGAGAACUCUGAUGUUUGGCAGAUGGAGAAACCGUGCAUCUCUACUUUCCACGUUCAAAUCUGGUGAAGGUUUGCUUCAAAAAUUAGCACUGUGUCGUAAGAGAGAGAAAUAUGGGAAUGUAUAUCUUACCGAUAAUUAUACUGUUGUUGUCUAUGGUGUCCCCUAUUAUGGGCU
This is a long non-coding RNA of Dermacentor silvarum, 271 nucleotides long. RefSeq lists it as uncharacterized. The record is from RefSeq and is a predicted model, not a curated record. The transcript has 3 exons. Lineage: Eukaryota; Metazoa; Arthropoda; Arachnida; Ixodida; Ixodidae.